CUCCGCGCUAACCCUAUUUACACUACAACACCCACCGGCCGUCCCCCCUCUCCCUCGCCACUAACCCUAGCCAAAGCACCCGCCCCCGUACUAGAGCACUCGCCCCCUCUCGCCUCUUCGUCUCUCCCUCUCCAGUCUCCUUAGACUUAGAAAAUAGAAACACAGAGAUCCAAAACAGUUCCUCCUCAUCCUUUUCUUUCAGUUUGUGUUUCCAGCGUUUGAAACCAUUCAAGCCUCUCAAAAACAAAUCGACGUUCCUCUUCAUCUAUACAAGAUCACAGGGGUCAAAUUAAGAAUAGAGAUACGGUUGCUGUGUUGAUUUUGUUGAAUGCUCAAAAAUCAAUUUAUAAGAAUUCAGUGGAAAGUUGCAUCUAGCAACAGAUGAUAAUUAGUUCACAAAUUGAUGCAUUUAUUGAAAACAUAUGGUAUCAAAGUGCAAAUGAAGAUUUAUUUUUUUGGCUUGGAGUGUUUUAUGAUAAUGUUAUUUGUUAUUUUUUCUUUAAGCCCUUUGAAGGUAUUGGUUUGUAAUUUGAAUUAAUUUGGAUUUUAACUUAUUGGUAUGUGACUGUGUGUUAUUUAAA
Long non-coding RNA from Populus trichocarpa (black cottonwood), 581 nucleotides. RefSeq lists it as uncharacterized. NCBI's taxonomy places the organism in Eukaryota, Viridiplantae, Streptophyta, Magnoliopsida, Malpighiales, Salicaceae. The record is from RefSeq and is a predicted model, not a curated record. The transcript has 4 exons.